RNAcentral lists this ribosomal RNA (627 nucleotides) under uncultured fungus. RNAcentral's name for it is "eukaryotic LSU rRNA". The stretch from base 204 to 357 matches the Rfam family "5.8S ribosomal RNA". Lineage: Eukaryota; Fungi. The record is from RNAcentral.
UCCGUAGGUGAACCUGCGGAAGGAUCAUUACUGAAUAUGGAAUAUCUUAUUCUUAAACCCACACUGAGUACUUGUACUUGUUGCUUCCGUGGGCAGCGAAUGUUGUGUUUGCGCCUGCUGAUGAAGUGGACCCACGGGAGACACCAAUAAACUCUGCCUUUUUGUGAUAUAUAGUCUGACUCUGUUUAUUCUUUAAACGUUAAAACUUUCAACAACGGAUCUCUUGGUUCUGGCAUCGAUGAAGAACGCAGCGAAAUGCGAUAAGUAAUGUGAAUUGCAGAAUUCAGUGAAUCAUCGAAUCUUUGAACGCACAUUGCGCCCCCUGGUAUUCCGGGGGGCAUGCCUGUUCGAGCGUCAUUUCAACCCUCAAGCUCUGCUUGGUAUUGGGCGUCGCCGGGGAGUCUCUCUCCGGCGUGCCUCAAAGCUAUCGGCGGUGGUGCCCUUCUCUAAGCGUGGUAGAAUUUUUAUUCGCUUCUGAGUUGGGCUUCGCCUGCCGGACAAACCGGGCCCUCGCGGCCCGCCUUCUCAGGUUGACCUCGGAUCAGGUAGGGAUACCCGCUGAACUUAAGCAUAUCAAUAAGGCGGGAGGGGAAGGUCGGACUGGCCAAGGGCACACAGGGGGGGAUA